GUAAUAGCUCACUGGUCUAGUGAUUUUGCGCGGAAAAUAUAACGGGGCUAAAGUAAGUACCGAAGCUGUAGACUUGAUUUUAUCAAGUGGUAGGAGAGCGUUCUAUUUGCGCCGAAGGUAUACCGGUAAGGAGUGCUGGAGCGAAUAGAAGUGAGCAUGCAGGCAUGAGUAGCGAUAAUUAAUGUGAGAAUCAUUAACGCCGUAAACCCAAGGUUUCCUACGCGAUGCUCGUCAUCGUAGGGUUAGUCGGGUCCUAAGUCGAGUCCGAAAGGGUAGACGAUGGCAAAUUGGUUAAUAUUCCAAUACCAACAUUAGUGUGCGAUGGAAGGACGCUUAGGGCUAAGGGGGCUAGCGGAUGGAAGUGCUAGUCUAAGGUCGUAGGAGGUUAUACAGGCAAAUCCGUAUAACAAUACUCCGAGAACUGAAAGGCUUUUUGAAGUCUUCGGAUGGAUAGAAGAACCCCUGAUGCCGUCGAGCCAAGAAAAGUUUCUAAGUUUAGCUAAUGUUGCCCGUACCGUAAACCGACACAGGUGGGUGGGAUGAGUAUUCUAAGGCGCGUGGAAGAACUCUCUUUAAGGAACUCUGCAAAAUAGCACCGUAUCUUCGGUAUAAGGUGUGGUUCGCUUCGUAUUAGGAUUUACUCCGAAAGCGAAGAAACUUACAACAAAGAGUCCCUCCCGACUGUUUACCAAAAACACAGCACUCUGCUAACUCGUAAGAGGAUGUAUAGGGUGUGACGCCUGCCCGGUGCUCGAAGGUUAAUUGAUGGGGUUAGCAUUAGCGAAGCUCUU
Molecule: ribosomal RNA, 791 nt
Filed under: Campylobacter coli
Lineage: Bacteria; Pseudomonadati; Campylobacterota; Epsilonproteobacteria; Campylobacterales; Campylobacteraceae
Description: bacterial LSU rRNA
Rfam family: Bacterial large subunit ribosomal RNA
Source: RNAcentral